GUAGCUUAGUUGGUAAGCACUCGUCUAGCAUACAAGAGUCCUGGGUUCAAAUCCCAGUACA
RNAcentral lists this transfer RNA (61 nucleotides) under Aedes aegypti (yellow fever mosquito). It matches the Rfam family "tRNA". From Rfam's summary of the family: Transfer RNA (tRNA) molecules are approximately 80 nucleotides in length. Their secondary structure includes four short double-helical elements and three loops (D, anti-codon, and T loops). Lineage: Eukaryota; Metazoa; Arthropoda; Insecta; Diptera; Culicidae. The record is from Rfam by way of RNAcentral.